CCUUCGAUAGCUCAGUUGGUAGAGCGGAGGACUGUAGCGGAUAACACGGAGAUCCUUAGGUCGCUGGUUCGAAUCCGGCUCGAAGGA
RNAcentral lists this transfer RNA (87 nucleotides) under Pangasianodon hypophthalmus (striped catfish). It matches the Rfam family "tRNA". Rfam says of the family: Transfer RNA (tRNA) molecules are approximately 80 nucleotides in length. Their secondary structure includes four short double-helical elements and three loops (D, anti-codon, and T loops). The record is from Rfam by way of RNAcentral. Lineage: Eukaryota; Metazoa; Chordata; Actinopteri; Siluriformes; Pangasiidae.